CCCCGAGAUGAGUUCUCCCUGACCCUUUAAGGGUCCUGAAGGAACGUUGAAGACGACGACGUUGAUAGGCCGGGUGUGUAAGCGCAGCGAUGCGUUGAGCUAACCGGUACUAAUGAACCGUGAGGCUUAACCUUACAACGCCGAAGCUGUU
This 151-nucleotide ribosomal RNA is filed under the name Escherichia coli. RNAcentral describes it as "partial 23S ribosomal RNA". The stretch from base 1 to 134 matches the Rfam family "Bacterial large subunit ribosomal RNA", at positions 2797 to 2925 of the family's 2925-position model. Lineage: Bacteria; Pseudomonadati; Pseudomonadota; Gammaproteobacteria; Enterobacterales; Enterobacteriaceae. The record is from RNAcentral.